This 253-nucleotide ribosomal RNA is filed under the name uncultured bacterium. RNAcentral's name for it is "partial 16S ribosomal RNA". It matches the Rfam family "Bacterial small subunit ribosomal RNA", at positions 524 to 776 of the family's 1533-position model. The record is from RNAcentral.
UACGAAGGGGGCUAGCGUUGUUCGGAAUUACUGGGCGUAAAGCGCGUGUAGGCGGGUCUUUAAGUCAGGGGUGAAAUGCCAGGGCUCAACCUUGGAACUGCCUUUGAUACUGGAGACCUUGAGUCCGGGAGAGGUGAGUGGAAUUGCGAGUGUAGAGGUGAAAUUCGUAGAUAUUCGCAAGAACACCAGUGGCGAAGGCGGCUCACUGGCCCGGAACCGACGCUGAGACGCGAAAGCGUGGGGAGCAAACAGG